Molecule: ribosomal RNA, 408 nt
Filed under: uncultured bacterium
Lineage: Bacteria
Description: bacterial SSU rRNA
Rfam family: Bacterial small subunit ribosomal RNA
Source: RNAcentral
UGGGGAAUAUUGCACAAUGGGCGCAAGCCUGAUGCAGCGACGCCGCGUGAGGGAUGACGGCCUUCGGGUUGUAAACCUCUUUCGCUAGGGACGAAGCGUAAGUGACGGUACCUGGAGAAGAAGCACCGGCCAACUACGUGCCAGCAGCCGCGGUAAUACGUAGGGUGCGAGCGUUGUCCGGAAUUACUGGGCGUAAAGAGCUCGUAGGCGGUUUGUCGCGUCGUCUGUGAAAUUCUGCAACUCAAUUGCAGGCGUGCAGGCGAUACGGGCAGACUUGAGUACUACAGGGGAGACUGGAAUUCCUGGUGUAGCGGUGAAAUGCGCAGAUAUCAGGAGGAACACCGGUGGCGAAGGCGGGUCUCUGGGUAGUAACUGACGCUGAGGAGCGAAAGCGUGGGGAGCGAACAG